GUGGCGAACGGGUGAGUAACACGUGGGCAAUCUGCCCUGCACUCUGGGACAAGCCCUGGAAACGGGGUCUAAUACCGGAUAUUACCGUGGAGCGCAUGCUCUGUGGUGGAAAGCUCCGGCGGUGCAGGAUGAGCCCGCGGCCUAUCAGCUUGUUGGUGGGGUGAUGGCCUACCAAGGCGACGACGGGUAGCCGGCCUGAGAGGGCGACCGGCCACACUGGGACUGAGACACGGCCCAGACUCCUACGGGAGGCAGCAGUGGGGAAUAUUGCACAAUGGGCGAAAGCCUGAUGCAGCGACGCCGCGUGAGGGAUGACGGCCUUCGGGUUGUAAACCUCUUUCAGCAGGGAAGAAGCGCAAGUGACGGUACCUGCAGAAGAAGCACCGGCUAACUACGUGCCAGCAGCCGCGGUAAUACGUAGGGUGCGAGCGUUGUCCGGAAUUAUUGGGCGUAAAGAGCUCGUAGGCGGCUUGUCGCGUCGGAUGUGAAAGCCCGGGGCUUAACCCCGGGUCUGCAUUCGAUAC
This 524-nucleotide ribosomal RNA is filed under the name Streptacidiphilus sp. 645350. RNAcentral's name for it is "bacterial SSU rRNA". It matches the Rfam family "Bacterial small subunit ribosomal RNA", at positions 95 to 633 of the family's 1533-position model. The record is from RNAcentral. Lineage: Bacteria; Bacillati; Actinomycetota; Actinomycetes; Kitasatosporales; Streptomycetaceae.